RNAcentral lists this ribosomal RNA (676 nucleotides) under Paenisporosarcina sp. B1257_1. RNAcentral's name for it is "bacterial SSU rRNA". It matches the Rfam family "Bacterial small subunit ribosomal RNA", at positions 68 to 724 of the family's 1533-position model. Lineage: Bacteria; Bacillati; Bacillota; Bacilli; Caryophanales; Caryophanaceae. The record is from RNAcentral.
GAAUGAUGAAGAAGCUUGCUUCUUCUGAUUUUAGCGGCGGACGGGUGAGUAACACGUGGGCAACCUACCUUGUAGAUUGGGAUAACUCCGGGAAACCGGGGCUAAUACCGAAUAAACCAUUUUGCUUCAUGGCAAGAUGUUGAAAGGCGGCUUCGGCUGUCACUACUAGAUGGGCCCGCGGCGUAUUAGCUAGUUGGUAGGGUAAUGGCCUACCAAGGCGACGAUACGUAGCCGACCUGAGAGGGUGAUCGGCCACACUGGGACUGAGACACGGCCCAGACUCCUACGGGAGGCAGCAGUAGGGAAUCUUCCACAAUGGACGAAAGUCUGAUGGAGCAACGCCGCGUGAGUGAAGAAGGUUUUCGGAUCGUAAAACUCUGUUGUAAGGGAAGAACACGUACGAGAGUAACUGCUCGUACCUUGACGGUACCUUAUUAGAAAGCCACGGCUAACUACGUGCCAGCAGCCGCGGUAAUACGUAGGUGGCAAGCGUUGUCCGGAAUUAUUGGGCGUAAAGCGCGCGCAGGCGGUUCUUUAAGUCUGAUGUGAAAGCCCACGGCUCAACCGUGGAGGGUCAUUGGAAACUGGAGAACUUGAGUACAGAAGAGGAAAGCGGAAUUCCACGUGUAGCGGUGAAAUGCGUAGAGAUGUGGAGGAACACCAGUGGCGAAGGCGG